CCACAUUCCCAGCUCUAGGUUAAUUUUUAUAUGGGGUGUGAGGCAUGGGUAUUGGAUCUUUCUUUUGCACAUGGCUAUCCAGCUAUCUCAAGACCAUUUGUUGAAAAGACUAUUAUUCUCCAGUGGGUUGUCUUGCCACUCUUGUUGAAAAUUAAUGGGCCAGAAAUAUAUACAUUUAUUUCUAGUCUCUUAGUUCUGUUUCAUUGGUCUAAAUGUCCUUUUGCCAGCACCUUGCUGUCUUGAUUCCUGCAACUUUGUAGUAAGGCUUUCAUACUGAGGUUUGAACUUAGGGCCUUAGUCUUACUAAGCAGGUACCCUAUACUAGUCGAGCUAUACUGUCAGCUCUGAUUCUCUUUAUUCUCUUUCACUGAUGUUUUGUGAUUUUUUAAAGUUUGAACUGUUAAUUCAUUCCUAAUUAUUGUGCUUGUAAUUAUUUCUUUCUUCCGAGUCUGCCUUAGUAAUUUUUAUCCUGCAAGGAAUUCCUGUGUCACUCUAGUUGUGGCAUUGGUUGGCACAUAAGGUUGCUCACAGUACCCCUGGUGACUUUUUCACCUCCAUACAGUUGGAGAUAAUAUCCUCUCUCCCACCCCUGAUUUUAGAAAUUGGUUUUCUAUUUUUCUUGGUCAGUCAAAUUACAGGUCAGUUAUUUUUUUAUCUUUGCAGAGAACCAGCUUCAGUUUCAUUGAUUUUUCUUUAUUGUCUUUGUGUUCUAUGCGUUGGUUAUGUUUAGAAUUGCUUGAAAAUUCCCGUUGUUGCUGCCGUAGCUCUGGGCAGGAUUUUAUUUCUGUCUUCACCUCAUUUUUCUCUUGUGGUUCCUAGACACCACACCAGUGACCCACUUGUCCCCCAGCAGAGACUGUUUUGACUGCGCAGUCUCCUGUGGCUCACCCUCUGUUGUGAUCCUGGGUCUGUGGGUAUGGUGGCUUCGGCAUGAGUAAGCUGUGGUUUACUUUUCUGCAUGAAUUUUCCUCUGUAUACUUGUACCUAUCAAAGAGAGUACUAAUUGAGAUUUACUGACGUAUUAACUGACUUAUUAAUAGAAUAGGUGCAAAGCAGUUGCUGGUCAGCCUUCAACAAAGUAUUCUGAAUGCUUCAGUGUCAAGCCACCUGCUUGCAGCACUGUACUCGCAAGUCCCAAGUAUGUGAAAGAAUGCCCUCCCUUCCCCCUGCCUGUCUGCCUGUCUGCCUGUCAUCCGCUUGCCAUACUUCAGGGAUUUCUUCUUUUGAACACUGCCAUUGAAAUUGGGAAGAAAGUAGCACUUGGAAUAGUUUCCAGGAAGACUGGGGAGGAAGGCCCUUUAAGUGCUUUCUACUCAGAAGCACCUUGCCAAGUCAGCCUCUGCAGGCCUCCAGUGCCCAGCAGUGUCUGUUUUGCUCAUGUUCCCUGUGGGUAUGGAAAGCCAGUGACCAGCUCAACAUGCAUAGCGUGGGCUGUGGUUUUCCGACCUGUCUGUUCCUGAAGAUGACCUUGCCGUCAGCCCUGGUCCUUAGUGAAGGUAGACACUGAUAUAUCAAAAGCCUGUUGGGACUAGAGGGAGCCGUGUCUUCCCCUGCCUUAACUAGCUUUGAGUAGGAAAGCCCCUUGAACUCGGCUCUGAGUUCAGCAUUUGUAGAAAACAGUGAUCUCACAAUGUCUCCAGCUUCUUUCCUGUUCCCAAUGUUUUUACUGAUAUAUACCUAUUGGUGUUUUCCUGUUGUUGCUAGUGCAAUUACUAGAAUACCCUGAAGGUCAAGGUCAAAGCUCUGUCAAUUUGUGUUCCUUUUGGGAUGAGCUUGAGCAGCCUCAUCACUGAGCCUAGGAUGGCCACAACGGUCAUGCAGGUACUUCGGGCCUUCCUUGCAGGAACAGUGAUCAGCAAGGCUGGGCCUGUCUAGGCUGUCAGGCCUGCCCGUCACCUGAAGAACAUUUAGAAAAAGCGUCUGUCUCUGGUGGUGAGUGCAGUGUCUGUGCAGGAUGUUGGUGUGGUUACCCCCUGCCCCCAGCCAUGAGCCAAUUCUGUGUGGGGGCCCCUAGCCAUUGACUCUGUCUUUGAGGUGUGACUUGCCCAUGCUGUCCUGCUUUCUGGGGAUGGGAGAACAGUUGGGUAUAGCCAGCCCUUGGAGUAUAUGGUUUAGCUGGAAGACAAUGGCAGGCUUAACUAUAGCAUCCUUUACCUGCUUACCAACCAGUAGUUUAAGCAGAACUCUAGAGCCAGGCUUGGUGGCCCAGUGAAGUAGUGGGAAGCUCAUGUCUGUUCGUGUGCCCCAUUGCCAUGGAGAGGCCUGUGUGGCUGCUUCCCUAGUAUGGCUUUGUGUGGGUGAGGGGCUGGAGCCAGGGGAAAUUGGACAGAACCUGGUCUCCCCUCUGGGGGUGGUGCAUGUCCUGUGGUUGUGAACUCAGGGCUAGGAGCUGGGAGACACCAUGAUGUUCAUUGUCUGCAGAUCAGGGCUCUAUAGCAGGAGUCAGUGCUGUCUCCCUUCUAGGGCCCGCUGUUAGUUUUGAUUCAGGCUUGUCCCAGGAGCUAACCAAGUGCAUGGCCCCUGCUGACACCCUGCCUCCUCUUGGACCUGGUCUCAGCAGGGACUGGCCUGCACCCAAUAGAUGCCUCCCUUGCUUGUGGGGAGGCUGUCUCUCAUAGUAGAUCUGAUGGAAAAGGUAUUGGCUCCUCUGUCAGAAGCAGGGCAAGGGGAAAGGCCCUGAGGGAAGGAGAUACUGUCUUCAUAGAAUGCUGCAGAGCCAGAGUUGUUCUUUCCUCACUGUGAGCAGAGAUGUUGCUGGACUGGCAUCCUGGUAGUCCUGUGAGGACAGUUUGGCAUUGUGACCAGACCUGGAGGGAGUUGCCUGGUAUUUUGAGGCUUGGAGCUUUAAUUGUUGAGUGAGAGGUAAGAUGUGAUGUUAGGAAGAUGAGAGCGUAUGAAUCAUACUCUUGUGUAUGUUGUCAUCUCUCAGGUCUGUAGUCACUUCUCAGGUUCAUAGUCGUCAUCUUUCCAGUCCGUAGUCAUCUCUCAGGUCUGUGGUCAUCUCUCAGGUCCAUCGUCAACUUUCAGGUUCACGGUCAUCUGGUCAUCUCUCAUGUUCAUGGUCAACUCUUAGGUCCCCGAAGUCAGUUCUCUGCUCUGUAGACAGCCCUCAGGUUUAUGGUCAUCUCUUAGGUCUGUGGUUACCUCUCAGGUUCAUGGUCAUCUCUCAGGUCUGUGGACAGAUCUCAAGUUUGUGGUCAGUUCUCAGGUCUGUGGUCAUCUCUCAGGUUUAUGGUCAUCUCAGAUCUGUGGACAGCUCCCAGGUCUGUGGAUAGCUCUCAGGUCCAUGGUCAGCUCUCAGGUCUGUAGUUAUUUUUAACACCUGUGGGACAGCUCUGAGGCCCGUGGUCAGCUCACAGGUCCAUGGUCAGCUCUUAGGUUUUUGAACAGCUCUGAGGCCUGUGGUCGGCUCUCAGGUUCAUAACUCUCAGGUCUGUGAUCACUUUUUGAGUCUGUGGUCAGCUGUCAGGUCCGUGGUCAGCUCUUCGGUCUGUAGUUAUCUUUCAGGUCUGUGGUCAGCUCAGCAUGUGGCCAGCUCUUAGGUCCCCGGGGUCAGCCCUCAGAUCUGUGGUCUGUUUCCAUAAGUAUGAUUUGAUGUGUUUCUGUGACACAGAACAUGAGGGAAGGUUGAUUCCUAAAGGAGUCAGAAGCAGAUAGAGAGUGCUGGCAUAGAGCAGGGCAGCCCGUGGUUUUCACAGGAUGCCUGGUAACAGGUUGUUUCUGACCUGGGCCCCAUCCAACAGGGAUCUGGACAGUCCUCAGCCUUGCUGACUUGACGUUAUGUGUGUGACUGGUAGAAAGCGUGAGAGUCAGCUAGGGAGCACGUGGGAGGACUCCUAGGAGGAGGUGGUCAGGUCUAUGAACAGCUCUCAAGCCUGUGGUCAGCUCUCAGGUCCCUGGCAGAAGAGGGGCUGGGGGAGAGGAGAUUCCACUCGCCUAGGCAGGGCAGAGGUGACUAGGGAAGGAGACAUGCAGGGUGCGGGUGAGUGGAUCUGCAGAGUGUAGGACAGUUUGGAUUUAUUUAGCAUGUAACGGGGGAGGAGGAGGAAGGGCAUCAGGACUGGAAGGUUUGGACCCUUUGGGUGACUGGGCAUGGACUGUAGGACAGACUGCACCUGUGCACACCUGCUUGAAGCAGACUCUCCUUGGCCCUGUGCCUCCACAUGGAAGUCCUGUCCCUGCGGGUAGAGGGAGGAGCACAUGAAGAAGCCUCUCCUCACCCUCUGGUCUUCCUCCACCUGGUCCUGGUUCUCUUGUCCACUCCAUGUCCUUCUCCUCUAAGCUGGUGCCCAUCUGUGCUGGGCUGUGAGGUGAGAAUCUGUUUCUUUGUGAGAUCCUGUUUUGACCUUAUCACCUGUUUUCUUUCUCCCUUUUCCUCCUCAUUCUGCUCCUCCUCCCCUAACUUCUUGUCUGGGGGUUGGUCUCAAACUGUGAUCCUCCCACCACUGCCUCCCAAGUAACUGGAAUUAUAACGGGGUGGCACCAACAUGCCUGGCCCCUCCUCCCUUUUAAAUGCAAUGCAUUUCCUUUAUCUAAAAUACUUACCAGACUCCCAUUGUAGGGUGAAAGAGUGUCCUGGUGUGAUGACAGUAGUCUGGAUUUUGGGAGUCAGAUAAGUUGGGAAGGAAAACAACGUUUUGUUCAGAUUCUGAGCUGAGAAACGGGGGCCCCUAGUGCAGCCACACCUGGUGUCUGCCCAGUGCCUGGCACCCUCCUUACCACAUAGCAGGUCAGCACAGGUCCUGGCCUUGCUGCAGGCCUGGGCCACCCAGGGCUAGUCCUGUGGGCCCAAGGACAUCUCUGUUGUCUUUUCCAUAAUAAUAAGGUAUCUCACUUGUGUGUGUAAACCAAGGAAAUUAAUCAUAAGCACGUUGGUACUCAUGAAUUU
Long non-coding RNA from Perognathus longimembris pacificus (Pacific pocket mouse), 4888 nucleotides. RefSeq lists it as uncharacterized. The transcript is spliced from 2 exons. The record is from RefSeq and is a predicted model, not a curated record. Lineage: Eukaryota; Metazoa; Chordata; Mammalia; Rodentia; Heteromyidae.